AUAUCUUUCUGUACGGGAAGGAUGAGAAGCUUCGACUAAGGUUCGAUUCGAGCGCAGCGAGAAAGCGUUGCCGCAGGCAACGACCCGAAGGGCGAAGCGCGCAGCGCUGAGUCA
RNAcentral lists this small RNA (114 nucleotides) under Salmonella enterica. RNAcentral's name for it is "partial RtT sRNA". It matches the Rfam family "RtT RNA", at positions 1 to 113 of the family's 130-position model. Rfam says of the family: This family represents a bacterial cis-regulatory element known as RtT RNA. The record is from RNAcentral. Lineage: Bacteria; Pseudomonadati; Pseudomonadota; Gammaproteobacteria; Enterobacterales; Enterobacteriaceae.